CUUGCAAUUUCCAGUAUAAAAGAUUAUAAUCAACGGGUCGCGAAAGUGGCGAUGAUUCUGAACCCGUUGCGGAAUAGACGUUUUGGACCCGGGGGCGGUACCCGGCACCUCCACCAAUAAAAAAUUAUGGGGGUGUAUCAGUUUCGACAGGCGUAAUAAAGGCAAAUGGCUGAAUUCGACGUGGUGUCGUUAAAAACCAAUAAAAAAAUGAAUGCGAACGAUAAUGUUCGUCUUGCAAUGGCUGCCUAAUCUAGGUUUGAAUAUAGUUGGCAAUUGUUGAUUAUAUUCGUUUAGCUUUUUGCGGGGCAUGCCGGGUGCCUGGCACCAGAAACC
RNAcentral lists this transfer-messenger RNA (333 nucleotides) under bovine gut metagenome. RNAcentral describes it as "Alphaproteobacteria transfer-messenger RNA". It matches the Rfam family "Alphaproteobacteria transfer-messenger RNA". From Rfam's summary of the family: Bacterial tmRNA, also known as 10Sa RNA or SsrA, is named for its dual tRNA and mRNA-like properties. Its role is to liberate the mRNA from a stalled ribosome. To accomplish this part of the tmRNA is used as a reading frame that ends in a translation stop signal. The record is from RNAcentral.